This 493-nucleotide ribosomal RNA is filed under the name uncultured bacterium. RNAcentral describes it as "partial 16S ribosomal RNA". It matches the Rfam family "Bacterial small subunit ribosomal RNA", at positions 30 to 523 of the family's 1533-position model. The record is from RNAcentral.
AUUGAACGCUGGCGGCAUGCUUUACACAUGCAAGUCGAACGGUAACAGGUUAAGCUGACGAGUGGCGAACGGGUGAGUAAUGCAUCGGAACGUGCCCGGUCGUGGGGGAUAACACUUCGAAAGAAGUGCUAAUACCGCAUACGAUCUGAGGAUGAAAGCGGGGGACCGUAAGGCCUCGCUCGAUCGGAGCGGCCCAUGUCAGAUUAGGUAGUUGGUGGGGUAAAGGCUCACCAAGCCGACGAUCUGUAGCUGGUCUGAGAGGACGACCAGCCACACUGGGACUGAGACACGGCCCAGACUCCUACGGGAGGCAGCAGUGGGGAAUUUUGGACAAUGGGCGCAAGCCUGAUCCAGCAAUGCCGCGUGCAGGAAGAAGGCCUUCGGGUUGUAAACUGCUUUUGUACGGAGCGAAAAGGCUCUCUCUAAUACAGGGGGCUCAUGACGGUACCGUAAGAAUAAGCACCGGCUAACUACGUGCCAGCCGCCGCAGUAA